Molecule: long non-coding RNA, 2262 nt
Organism: Hippoglossus stenolepis (Pacific halibut)
Lineage: Eukaryota; Metazoa; Chordata; Actinopteri; Pleuronectiformes; Pleuronectidae
Exons: 6
Source: RefSeq, a predicted model, not a curated record
UGUUUUGAAUAUUGUAAGAUCUCAGCAGCAGCUCCACUCUGCAGAAAAUCACUUACAGGAUUGCUCUGUCUGAGGUAAAAGCCUAUUUUAAGACACCUCAGUGCACAAGCUGAGCAAUGACUCGUGCACGCGUCCUCACCUCCAGCCCCCCUGGGGAUGACAUCAUCGGGCUCCUCUCCAAGUCUGAUGAUGUAAUGUCUGCUAAAUUGCUAAGUGCUCAGGAUGAAGUCAUCGUAUCUGAAUUUGAUAUCAGCUAAGUGGUUCAGUGAGGGGGGGACAGCUGGCUCAGAAUGCUUACUCCCCCCUUUUCUCUCUCUCAUACAUCCGGAACAUCUUUUUCUUAGCUCUCUCUGCAUCCUGCCUCGGUCGCCCCACUUUCCAUCUCUCCUCCAGCCUCCAGUCUUACACCAAGUUGCGUCAUGUGUUUGGUGGUGGAGCCUCUGGAGAAGCAGGAGGUUCUGUCGCUCUGUUCUUUCUCUGUGAGUUUGACCCGCCAGGUCAGUGAGCUUCUAUUUUAAACCUCGGCUGUCAUCCUGUGAAGCUAUCAAAUAAACCUGGACCACGUGUAUCAGCCCUCCCAUCCACCUUCUCCUCAUCUCCUCCAGCUAAACACACUUUGGAUUUGUAGAUUAGGAUUUUGGGGGGGGGGGGGUUAGGGUUAGGGUUUUAUUUUGAAAUUUAUUUCCUGGAGUGUCCUUGAUUGUUUUGCUUCCUGUCUUUGUCUGAGUCCAGGCCCUGAUGGGUUUCACCUGUGUUCAAUCACUUCCUGUGUGUGUAUUUAGUCUCUGUGCUCCUGUCGCUCCUGUGUCAGUUUGUAGAUUCAUUCAUUUUCUGUUAGUUUUUCUGCCAGCUUCUUCCUCUGUGUUUCUCUUUGCGUCUGAUUCCCUUCCUGCACGUUUGCUGCCUUAGUUUAGAUUUUGGAUUUUCUGUUUUGGAGUUUUGGGAAUUUGUUUUCCUGCUCACUUGCCUUCCACAGACUAUUAGGAAAUGAGCAGGAAACGGGAGAGAACAAGCUGAAACGGUCAUGGGGCACCAGAGCUUUUACCAUCUUUGUGAGGGUACACGCUGAUCAAAUCACUGUCUGAGGGCUGAUGCAUAGAAAAGGACAAGCAUCAGAGGCACUAAAUCACUUGAGCUGCACUUGAUCCACGUGUCUGGAAGAAAUCCAUGCAGGAGCAAGACCUGAUAUCUACUUACCUACAGUUGUGCACACACUCCUUCGUACUACCAUCAGCUCCAAUAUGCUCUGGGGGAUACAUCCGAGAGUUCCCAUCAGGCUUCGCCACAUCCUCAAGACCCCAACAGUGUCCCAGUGUCAGACUUGUCUGGACCAGCCACAGCCACUGGACUCAACCAUGGACUCACGCAUCAUCAUUUUCCACUGUUGCAGAGACAGAGGGCAGCUAUAUGGCUAAUGGUCUGCGGAGAGGAAGAGGAGGAUCAAAACAGCAGCUGAAUCUGAACACAUAGGUCUGUGUGAGGCUGGUGUGAUUUGCUGUGACUGGUUUUACAGCCCAAGGCGAGAAAAACUUCCUUUUGAUCUCUCCUCAUACCACCUCUCUCUCACUUCCUGCUUUUCCUCCAUCCAUCCUCACCCCCCCUCCUCCUCCUUCUCGUCCACGUGUCUUCGUUUUUAAUUUAUCGCUUUCAUUCAGCCCCUCUCUGUGCAAUUCUCAGAACACAUCCUCUCCUCUGCUUCACAACAUCAUCUUUCAGAGGCAGCUCUUAUUACCAACCAUGCUCCCCUCACCACAUUACUUGUGGUGUGUAGUAGCCUGCUGUGGAGAGCUGUCAUUCACACACAGUCACACACACACACCCUUGACCUCUGACCCCAGUCACCUGUAAAAACCCCAGAAAUAAUAUGUCCAUCGAUUGCCACUCAAUUCUCUGUCUUCUGUCCCUCCUCAGUCUUUUCAUUGUGUUUUCUAUCUGAAUCUCUGCUUGACUCUGAUGAGGGGAAUACUGAUGACACUGACAUUACAACCUUUAACAUGACUCACAUACUGAGGCCCUGCCCCUCCACGUAGAUGCACACACACAAUCAUGUCGAGAUACAGACACACACACACACACUCACUCUUACACUUCUUGUACAAAUUAUAUUCUGAUCAUGUUUAAGGCUAAGCUCAGUAUAAUCACAUGCUUAACCUUUUGCUGACUCCCCAUCACUCAUUCUGUCCGUGUGUGUCUGUGUGUGUGUGUGCUAAAUAUUGAAAGGUUAAAUACUUAAUGUCUACUGUAAUACACAUUUUAACAAUA